UCCCUGCAGGUCAAACAUCUCGUGUCCCUGCAGGUCAAACGUCUCGUGUCCCUGCAGGUCAAACGUCUCGUGUCCCUGCAGGUCAAACAUCUCGUGUCCCUGCAGGUCAAACGUCUCGUGUCCCUGC
Gasterosteus aculeatus aculeatus (three-spined stickleback) is the source of this 127-nucleotide non-coding RNA. Lineage: Eukaryota; Metazoa; Chordata; Actinopteri; Perciformes; Gasterosteidae. The record is from RefSeq and is a predicted model, not a curated record.